This 530-nucleotide ribosomal RNA is filed under the name uncultured bacterium. Its description in RNAcentral is "bacterial SSU rRNA". It matches the Rfam family "Bacterial small subunit ribosomal RNA", at positions 224 to 751 of the family's 1533-position model. The record is from RNAcentral.
GAUGAGCAUGCGUCCCAUUAGCUAGUUGGUAAGGUAACGGCUUACCAAGGCUACGAUGGGUAGGGGUCCUGAGAGGGAGAUCCCCCACACUGGUACUGAGACACGGACCAGACUCCUACGGGAGGCAGCAGUGAGGAAUAUUGGACAAUGGGCGCAAGCCUGAUCCAGCCAUGCCGCGUGCAGGAUGACGGUCCUAUGGAUUGUAAACUGCUUUUAUACGAGAAGAAACACUCCUUCGUGAAGGAGCUUGACGGUAUCGUAAGAAUAAGGAUCGGCUAACUCCGUGCCAGCAGCCGCGGUAAUACGGAGGAUCCAAGCGUUAUCCGGAAUCAUUGGGUUUAAAGGGUCCGUAGGCGGUUUAAUAAGUCAGUGGUGAAAGCCCAUCGCUCAACGGUGGAACGGCCAUUGAUACUGUUAGACUUGAAUUAUUAGGAAGUAACUAGAAUAUGUAGUGUAGCGGUGAAAUGCUUAGAGAUUACAUGGAAUACCAAUUGCGAAGGCAGGUUACUACUAAUUGAUUGACGCUGAUG